This 33680-nucleotide long non-coding RNA is filed under the name Zea mays. RNAcentral describes it as "long non-coding RNA (ZMAY_LNC002295)". Lineage: Eukaryota; Viridiplantae; Streptophyta; Magnoliopsida; Poales; Poaceae. The record is from RNAcentral.
UACGAGGUCUUUCCAAAGUUCCACUAGUUCGAGAACACUCGCUACGGAUUCAGGAAGAAGUAAGCAUAAGAAUCGCUCGUCCGAAAAGCUUUACAGAUAGUUCGACCCGAGGACCUCACUAUACUCUGCAGCGACACCUCCCCGCUUGCCUAUUUUGGGUAAGGUAAUCUCUCCCUAGCUUUCCUAAUUACUUGGCCAAGGGCGUCCUAUUCCACCCUUGUGGUAGCACUGUUUUCCUGGGUAGUUCUCCAUGUUCUAGUUAAUACAAUAAUCUUAUCAUGAACAAUAAUUAAACAAGCAGUAUUAAUGGAACAUGAUCAUAUAUAACAUUAAUUCCGAAAUUCAGGUAGAGCAAUAGCAAAUCUACCCAAUAGUUCAUUUGUUUGUAAGGUGUGGGGUAAACAAAACUAGAUAAACCUAUUAGGUCUCAUCAAAUUAAUCUGAGCAUGUCACAGUGAUUAACAAGAACAUUAUUACGUAAAGAAGAGUGAUCAAGUGCACAACUUGCCUUAUACUUGCGAUAAUAUGUUGUCCAAAUGCUGACCCAAAAGUUGGGCUUCUAAUUCCUCGUCAUCUCGCCUCUACUCGUAGCAAUACAUACAAUCAAGCAAAUAAUGGAUAUGGUAACAUUACACCUAAGCAUAUGAACAAAGAGCGUAAGAAUAUCCUACGCGUCGCUAUGAGAUCGUUGGUUUAAGAACCAUUAAAAUCGGAGCUAAAACGAAGAAUUUAUGGAUAAAAUGAUAUUUUAGGCGCAAUAAAUCUAAUAGAUGGGAUCAAACAGAUAUUAUAUUUAAACUAAGAAGGUAUUUGUUGGGCCGAAGGCAAACACGCCACACUUCGCUCGUCGACUUCGUCCUCGCCUUGCGGAGACGAAGGCUGAAUCCACAACCCGCUAGAACAAGCUAAAGGCGUCGGCCGUGGCGGAGGCCUGCUCGACCCCCUUCGCUCUCACAAGACAAGACGAAGGCCCUACCGAAGUCUAUGGACCUUCCGCUCCCUCACCACCGAGGGAGGCCCAUGUGCGAUUCGGCCCAUAGAGAUGGGCCCCGCGUGGACAUGUGUGGUUAGUGUCGUGUCUAUAAUAAAGUUUACUGUAAUGACUGUCUGUAAGACUGUAACCUCCCCUCGUGGGAAUAUUCUGAGGAUAAACCAGGUACUCGAGGGUCUAAAUGUCUUUGACAGGGGGAGGCGGCCCCUCGAGUACCUAUAAAUACCUCCGUAUUGUGCCCAGGCACGGGGAGAAUAACGAAGCUUUUGCCAUUCCGUGUUAAGCUUUGCAAACUCUCUUUCUACUUUUCCGUUGGAUCAACUUGCCAUGGAGAGCAGGUUCCAACAGUAUUAAAUUAAAAUAUUUGAGUUGGUAUUAAUCAUUAACAAAUUUUUAUAAAAUGCGUAGGUUAGAACUAUAAAUUAGAUUAACUAGAUUAUCUAGCUAAUUAACAUUGAUUAAUUAAUUAAUUAAAACAUGUGGCAUAAUUAAAACAAUGUUAUUACUACGUACGUAAAAAUUAAUAUGAAUCUAACACAACUGGAACAAAUUAAAAAAAUUAUUUGACCUAGAAGAUAUCACAUGUUUAAUAAAUUAGGGUUGCACAGAAAUAGGUGACACGAUGGUGGGAACGAUUUGUUUACAAAUGCAUGACCUAGUUGUUGCCAACUUAUCAUGGUUGUACCUACUAUUAAAUCUGUGUUGUAUAGCAAUCUUGCAUAUAAAAAGGUAUGUGGUGGUGGUUAUUUAUUAGGUGGGAAGUGUCAAGCCUAUUAUAUGGGAAAGACUCGUAACCUACCACUAACUUACCUUCCAAUCAAGCUCUUCACUCACUUGUUGUUCAUGGUCAUCUCGGUUUUUGAUUAUGAUCCGAUCGACAAACCGGAAGCGCGGUAACGAAGCUCUCGCGAGCUAGUCAUGGCAAUGUUCUGGGCUGCCUCGGAAGAUGAAUGGACGGUGAGUAAUUACUCGUCGAAGUUGUCCCUAUACCAGUUUUACACUCUGUAGAGGUUGUGUUACUCAUUUGCCAAGGGAUCAUGACUUCUCAUUCAUCUAUAUCGAGGAGACGAGGCAGGGCAGCACUACGUGGCCUUUCCGAAGUUCCACUAGUUCGAGAAAACCCGCUACGGAUUCAGGAAGAAGGAAGCAUAGGAAUCCCUCGUCCCAAAAGCUUUACAGACAGUUCGACCCAAGGACCUCCCUAUACUCUGCAGCGACGCCUCCCCGCUUGUCCCUUUCGGGUAAGGUGAUCUCUCCCUAGCUUUCCUAAUUAUUUGGCCAAGGGCGUCCCAUUCCACCCUUGUGGUAGCACUGUUUUUCUGGGUGGUUCUCCAUGUUCCAAUUCAUACAAUAAUCUUAUCAUGAACAAUAAUUAAACCAGCAAUAUUAAUGGAACUUGAUCAUAUAUAACAUUAAUUACCAAAACCAGGUAGAGAAAUAGUAAAUCUACCUAAUAGUUCAUUUAUUUGCAAGGGGUGGGGUAAACAAAACUAGGGAACCUAUUAGGUCCCAUCAAAUUAACUUGAGCAUGUCACAGUCAUUAACAAAAAUAUUAUUAGGUAAAGAAGAGUGAUUAAGGGCAUAACUUGCCUUAUACUUACGAUAACUUGUUGUCCAAAUGCUGACCCAAAAGUUGGGCUUUUAAUUCUUCGUCACCUCGUCUCAACUCAUAGCAAUACAUACAAUCAAGCAAAUAAUAGAUAUGGUAACAUUACACCAAAGCAUACGAACAAACAGCGUAAAAAUAUCCUACGCGUCGCUAUGAGAUCGUAGGUUUGAGAACCAUUAAAAUCGAAGCUAAAACGAAGAAUUUAUUGAUAAAACGAUAUUUUAGGUGCAAUAAAUCUAAUAGAUGGGAUCUAACAGAUAUUGCAUUUAAACUAAGAAGGUAUUAAAUUAAAAUAUUAGAGUUGGUAUUAAUCAUUAACAUUUUUUAAUAAAAUGCAUAGGUUAGAACUAUAAAUUAGACUAACUAGAUUAUCUAGCUAAUUAACAUUAAUUAAUUAAUUAAAACAUGUGGCAUAAUUAAAACAAUGUUAUUACUAUGUACGCAAAAAUUAAUAUGAACCUAACACAACUCGAGCAAAUUAAAACAAAAUAUUUGACUUAGAAGAUAUCACAUGUUUAAUAAAUUAGGGUUGCACAGAAAUAGGUGACAUGACGGUAGGUACGGUUUGUUUACAAAUGCAUGACCUAGCUGUUGCCAACUUAUCAUGGUUGUACCUAUUGUUAAAUUUCUAUUGUAUAGCAGUCUUGCAUGUAAAAAGGUAUGUGGUGGUGGUUAUUUAUUAGGUGGGAAGUGUCAAGCCUAUCAUAUGGGAAAGAUCCCUAACCUACCACUAACUUACCUUCUAAUCAAGCUCUUCACUCCUUCGUUGUUGCUGGUCAUCUCUGUUUUUGAUUAUGAACCGGAGAUCCGACCGACGAACUGGAAGCACGGUGACGAAACUCUCGCGAGCUGGUCACGACGAUGUUGUGGGCUGCCCCGUAAGAUGAACGAACAGUGAGUAAUUACUCGUCGAAGUUGUCGCUAGAGUUGGGGAGGAACUCGAACUUCGACGAGAUGGUCAUAGCGGCUUAUGGCUGCAAGCUUAGCUAGCGGCGGGCUACUGUGGUUUGGAUGGCGGUAGUGCUGCUGCGAGGCUAUAGAGGAGAUGAGUCUAUAAUUUAUGGCUUAAGGUGUUAUGGUGGCAUGUAUUUAUAUAGGCUAGGAGGUGGGUGGUUAUAUGAUAGAUCUAAUCUCAUACUUAUAUUACAAUUCUAUCCUAUCUGUUAGGAACUCUAACAAACUCGAAACCAAAUCCAUUGAACAUGCGAGGGACGAUCGUGUCAACGGGGCCCUACUCGAUAGUGAUGCAUUGGAUGAUGUCAUCGGUGAUAUUAUGAUGAUGCAGUCAUCCGGCUUGGGAAUAAUGAAAAGAAAAAAUCAAAAUGAAUGAGGGAGAGCACAUGGGCUUCACGUGGUGUUAUCCUCACAGCGCCAAGCAACGGGCCGCUUCCGAGACAAGGUGGGUGAUUAUUUUUUUCUUUCUUGAUUUUAAUUUUCUAAAUUCCUAUUUGGUUUCCUAUUUUUUUACGAAUUUUAAAUUUAAUUUUGAGUUAAAUUUUCAAAUUCUAGUGAAAUGCACAAUCACAAAUCCAGCAUUCCAUGUAAGUAUAAUUGUAUACAUAUUGUCGGCGUUUCGGACCCGCGAUGACCCUCAACCGACCAGUGAAUUUGAUGCUGCGUAUCCCUGCCCAGAUGGGUUGAUGCAAGAUGAAACACAAGAGGGAGGAUGAGGUUUAUAUUAUCUUGCACUGGGGUGCUCGUAGUAGGGGUUACAAGCGUCGCGAGAGAGAGAGAGGGAGGGUUCGGCCUUGAGGUGAGUUGUCUCAGUUAGCCUCCUCUGUGUCUCUCCCACUCUGCCUGCCUCCCUUAGGAAGGCCCUGGACAUCCCCUUUUAUAGAUACAAGUUGAUGGUCCAGCUGUACAAUGGGGCUGUAGCUAUGUGCUAACGUGGCCGGAGGAGAAGUACUUGAGCCCUGUAGAAGCGCAACUGGCGUUGCGACCCGGGGUCCUGCUGACGUUUCUUUGCUUUCGUAGAGAGUUGAGAACAACCGACGUCAUGGACGCACGCAGGGAACCAUCAUUACCUGUUACCGAAGUAAUCUAGAUGGGACACCGGUCUCGUUCCUUCAUAGCCAGAGGCAGCUAGCUAGGGGUAGGGUAAUGAUGUAUCCCCUGUAGCGUGGUCGGUCCGAGGCCGAGGUCAGGCGAGGCGGAGACUUCCCCUGAGGCCGAGGCUGAGGUUGGGCGAGGUUGUGACUCUUCCCGAGGCCGAGGCUGAGGCUCGAGGUCGGGCGAGGCGGAGACCUUCUCCCGAGGCCUGGGGUCGGGCGAGGCAGAGCUCCCUGUUGCGCCCGAGGCCGAACUCGGGGGAGGUCGUGACUUACUAUCGUUUAUUUUACCCUGGUGGUUGGCACAGUAGUCGGAACAGGGUGAAUAGUGCUGUUUUCCUGUCAGAACGAUCAGUAAAGGGGCGAAGUGACUGCGGUCAUUUCAACCUUGCUGACUGAGGCGCGUGUGUCAGGAUAAGGUGUCAGGCGAUCCCCACAUUAAAUGCGCAUGCGAUACGAUCGGUUGGUAAGGCGAUUUGGCCGAGGUUGCUGCACGACAAAGUUUGCCCGAGCUUGGCUUCGGGCGAGCCGAGGGUGCGCCCACUGCCUGAGGAGGCCCUCAGGUGAGGCGUGAAUCCGUCUGGGACUGUAGUUCUUGCCCGAGGCCGAGCUCGGGCGAGACGAGAUUGCGUCCCUUGGUAGACGAGGCCUUGACUCGAACCGUGCCUAUCAGUCUUUACAGUUUGUUCUGAAGAUGUUUUCCAGCCAUGUUAAGGAGUAUUGGGGGUACCAGUAAUUACGGUACCCGACAGUAGCCCCCGAGCCUCGAAGGGAGUGUAGGUACUCGCUUGGAGGUUCUGCCGAAUUUUUUGCAAGGGGACCAGCCUUUCUCGGUCAUAUUUUUGUUCUGAUGGGUGCGCACGAGCGCACUCGUCGGGUGUAGCCCCCGAGGCCUCGGAGGAGUGGUUUGACUCCUCUGAGGUCUUAAUUCUUUUUGUGGUGCCUCGGUCGGCCUUGUUGUUCCCUCAUGCGGACUAGCCGCAGCCUGGGUGCAUGGUCAGGCUCCGAGUUUUUAAGCUGGCUUGUCGACGUGGUCGACAAUUUGGCCGUAGCCUGGUGCGAGAGCAGCCUCCGAGCCUCUACACGGAGCAAGAGGACGAUCGAGGACUGUCUCGGCUUUUUAUUGUACGCCCCUUCGUCGCCUUUCUGCAAGGAGGAGGGGGGGAACGCGCCAUGUUACCCUCAGUGGGCACCGAACAUGGUGUUUCCAGUGAGUUGCUAGCGGGUAAUCCGAGUGGACGCCCGAGCCCCGUUCGAUAAGGGUCGGCUAGUGGCCCAGAGGCGCGUUCCAAAAGUACCUGCGGGUGAUUUGCUGGACCCGGACCCAUUUGAUAGGGUCCGAGGGCUUGGUGCCUCCCUCCGGUGGGAUUCCAUUACAAAUCGUUCCCGCCAGUCUCGGAAAUGUCCUAUGGUACCUCGGGAGCAUAGCCCGAGCCUCGGCCAUGUAACGGAUGUACCCAGGGUCAUCCCUGACUCUGCAUGCUCUGGGGCGGCUGUCGAACCCUUCCGAGGGGCCAACCUUCGAUCCCCUGAUCAGUAAAGGGCUCAGAGCCUGAGUGCUUUGAGGCGAUUGCCGAACCCCGCAGGGCGCAACCUUCGAACCCCUGAUCAGUAGGAGGGCUCGGGGCCCGUUUCCUUCAUUGAGAAGGACCCUUUCGAAAUAUCCCCUUUCCCGAUCCCUGUGGCACGAGAGAGAGGAGGGAAAAAGAAAACAGGAUAUAAAUUUAAACAACAUGGCGCACCUUUUUUGAGGCGAUCAUCAUGACAGAGACGAAACGGCGCCCGCUUCACCUGCCAGAGGUGUCGCGUGCCCUGCCAGGGAGUUAAUGCGACGGGACGGGCGAUUCGCGGGACAUCUGUUGCGCGUGCGCGAGUCGUUCGAGGAACAGAAAACCCGUUUUGCCUUCGAGUUUGAAUUUCACGAAGGGUUCGGGCGAAGCUUUGGGCACCCAACAGGCAUUCAUCCCUAAAUCCGAAAGGUGUUACGCAAAGUGGAAGAAGAUAUGAGUUCACUAGAGGUGCCCUUACCAGUAAUCGCGUAGCCGAAGCCCUUCUCUAUUUUCUCUCUUCUUGCAUCUCUCUCCUCCACGGCGGCUUGUUCGCCCACACGGUUCCGGCGACCGAGCACCCAAGGUGGCGGCGCGGAAGAACGCAGGGCUCAACUGGUGCAGGAGCAGGGCAGUCGCAGUGUCGAGCCGAAACAGGGGUUCUCCAGCUCUGUCCUGAUGGCCAUCAGAGACACUACUUCGUAGUUGAUGCCGGCAGGGGAGAGCGUGGCGCUCUCGGCAUUGAUGUUCCUCGGUAUGCACCCGGCGACUAGUCGAACGGACGCGGAGGGGUCACGGGGCUACGACCACGUAUUUAUAUUUGGGAUCAAGGGGUAGAGGAUGCUUAUCGGCCAUCCUCACGCUACGGUUUGUUACAACAAACCAGGCGAGAUCCUAGGAGUAGCAUCUGAGUUCUGCCGGCAACAAACGAUAAAAUGAAAUAAAAAAACUGUUGACCGCCACCAUGGUUUAUGAGCACGAUAUUCUCGUUGGCAUCAUCAGGGAGAAGCAACCACCAGCAAGGUGGGUCACGCAAGGGGUGGAAAUUGGAGAUGGGCUAGGCCAAUCCGACUAGCAGGUUAGUUUCUUUUUAUUUCUGUUUUUUUCUUUUUUUAUUUUCCUUUCUUUUCUAUUUUUUUAAAUUCAAAUCCUUGUCCUAAAUUCAAAUCUUGGUUUUAAGUCAAGAUGAUAUGUACAACAUAAAACUCCAAUAUGAAAAUACAAAGGUUUUAUUAUUAAAUAUAUAUAUCUCUACUACUUAUUAAGAUGGUAAGGGUAGUCUGCCGUUCUGUCAUUCUGCGAUCUCAACCAUCCAUUCUACCAUUCUAUAAUCUCAGUCGUUCGAUCCUACAUUUCAGUCCCGCUCCCUGAUCCCGCACAACAGUCCCGCUCCUAGAUCGCGCCCCAAAACUGUCGCCCCCGGCCUCCCCUCCCCUCCCCCGAUUCUGGCUGGCCACGAACUCCCCCCUGCUAUCCCUACCCCGAUUAUGCCACCGUCGUCCGAUCCCACCCGCAUACGCUGCUCCCCGCCUCGAGGCUCGUCGGAACGGAUGCCUGGAUGUCGCGGCUGCAACCCACCGCCGCACAGGGAGGCUGCGCCCACACUAAAAUGGAGCACAGGGAGGCUCCGCCACCUACAACCCAGAGGAUGUGCGGAGGCCGGAGGGCAUGGGGAAUUCGUGAUGAGGUCUAUGCAUCAACAUCUUCUUCAAGGUACACCGUCGCCAUCCCAAUCCCUACCCCCAGAUUGAGCCAGUACCCCUUCCUUCCUUCUCUGAAUCUCAUCCUCUGCUUCCUUCAUUCGAUGUCAUGCCAUCAGUGCACAAGCACCAGCACAAUGGUGGUGACCUUGCCCUUGCCACUGUCCGUGGUUAGUUGAGUGAGUGAGUAGGUUUGGUUCUCCAUCUCCCCAUUCCCUCCCUCCACACCCCCUGGCCCAGCGGCAACAUGGAGCCCGGUCGCAUCCCAUGGAGGGCCAGUCUCCAAUGGAUCCAUGGCUUGAAGGUGUCAUCACCUCUCGAGGAUCCAAGAUAUGAGGCACUAAAUCGGCGGAGAGGUCAGUGGCGCUAGAUCUGCCUGUUUCCAGCUCCCCUCUCGCGCUGGAUCCAUGGCUCUUCUCCCUCCCCUCUCUCCCUUCUCCUUCCCUGUAUGUCCGAGUGCAUGCUAACUUGGAACAGACUGUCAUGCAGAGGGUUCGAUAUUUGGUGCCGAGUGUGAGAAGUGUGGGAUGCUCAUUAGGGUGGCUGGGAACAACAUCAUGCUGUCACCCCUGCUCAUCAUGACUCUCCAAUGAAGUGGAAGAAGUAAGACCAUUUUACUGUCACUUUUGCCUUUCUGAUACAAUCAUCUAACCACCAUGGAACUGAUAGAAGCCCGACUGACCUCUUAGAUCUUAAGCAAAUUCGGCGAUGCUCUGAAGGCCACGGAGGAAUGGAUCGGAGAACUGAAGUCUAGGAAGAAUCACCCAAAGAGGCUGGUUGUAAUGACGGUGAGGAUGGUGAUGAAAGUGUCCAAUAUACAGUGCAUUUUCAAACUUUAUUUCAAUAAAGUGCUAGGCUGCGAAAGGGCCUCUGUCAUGUGUUAUCUGUACUCCAAUUUUUGUGCACGCCUAAUGCUCUGUAAACCACCAGUCCCUAGUUCUGCCUUGGAGGCGUAUGAAGCUAUAAUGACUAGGCACUAAUUGCUCGUUCCUUUUUUAAAACAGUCUGCUUUUGAACUGGUUGUUGUAAUUGUGGUUUCUCGCUCGCUCGGCAUAUGAAAUACAUUUCGGAUUGUGCAGACUGAUUAUAUGUUGCUAAGUGCAGGACAUAUAGGAAUUUUUCUGAGGGUGAAAUGGUGCCUUUUGGACCUAUAGCGCUGAGUCCAUCCUCUUGAGUCCUAAAUUAUGGAGAGAUUAGUAGGAUGACUAUUAAUCAUGGGACAACACUGUCCUCGAUGUGGUUAUGUUCUUCUAAUGUAAUGGCACUAACGUCUUAUCAGGAAAACAUCGGAAACAAUUCGGAAACAAUUUAUUUGGACAGGGACCUGGGUGGGUUUUCGGAUUGUGCAAACUGAUUAUAUGUUGCUAAGUGCAUGACAUAUGGGAAUUUUUUUGAGGGUGAAAUGGUGCCUUUUCGACCCUAAAUUAUGGAGAGAUUAGUAGGAUGUAUGGACUCUUUGUUUCAAUUAUGUGGUAAAUUAGAUUAGCUGAAAAUAGAGUACUUUUAAAGGCAUAAAUACUCCUAUUUCUGUACUUGAGAUCACAUUUAUCCUGAUAUAGGUUGCCAUUCAUGAUAUUUCUAGGUUGCACAUAUGUUCCAAGCGCUAGGACUGAAAGGAUGCCACUUGCUAUUUUGCUGAAUUAUAACCUAUGCUUAAUCUAGAUGAUUCUUCAUUAAGUGAAUAGGUAGCUGACCCACAUUCUUGCUGAAUUAUAACCUAUGCUUAAUCUUGGAUCCAAUCAACAAACAAAUAAGUGCCACAAGCAAACCCACCCUGAGAAUAACAGCAGUGAUUUUCUUUUGUUCCACAUUCUUGGUUUCCAAUGCAUGUUUCUCUUCUUUUGAUAUACCGUUUUCUUUUACCGAUGCAUCUCUAUCUUUAUAUGUGUCCAAAGCUCCAAAUUGAAAUGAUUUAGUGCUUGCACUGAAAAAGGAACAUUCUGUAUGCUAAUUCUCUAAAAUGUGUAUGGCUGAAAUCGAUAUAUUUGCAACAUAGGAAUGACCUUUUUUAACAAUUUGAUGGAGCAGAAUGGAGGAUAAUCUACCAGUUAAUGUCCUGGAAUAUCAAGAACUUGCUAAGAAAUUAAUUCUGAAAAAAGUCAUUACACGCUAAGAAAAAUAAUGUGCAAGCUACUGAAUUUGCAAUCAAGCAAGGGUGGUUGCAUACUGUCGAUAUUGGAUACUUUGAUGAGGGAGGUCAGCUUUUCGUAGUUGAUAGACUUAAAGAACUGAUUAAGUACAAAGGUUUUCAGGUAAAGAUUCUCAUUUUUUCGCAAACAAAUGUUUAGUUUCUGCAAACUUUUAUUUAUAAUUAUGUGGGUGGUGAAAAUUAGUAAUCUGAACAGUGCUUACUGAAAGGAGACUUUGUCCAGCCUCAUUUGGGUCCUUUCUGCAGCUAACGUUUGCAGUUCUACUAAGCAUUUAUAUUUAUACAAAAUAUUAUUCAGUAGAUUGAUAUUCUUUGCUUACUAUUUGAUCUAACUAUCAUAAAAUGGAUUAUCCUUCACAUAUGUUAUUUUACCUUUUGAAUCUUAUAUCAUUUGUUUUUUUUUCUUUAGUCGAAUUUCAUAUUUUUCUUCGGUAGAUUGCACCCGCCGAGCUUGAAGGGCUACUUCUGUCUCAUCCAGAAAUUAUUUGAACUCUAUGUUUUGUAGUGGGUCCAUGUGACGGCAAGUCUUGAACUAGAUUCAUUGUUUUGCUGGCCUGGCUAACUAACAAGUACAAGUCAGCAAUGCCAUCAAUUGGUUUAAAUAUAUAGCAGUCAUGAAACUCCUAGAGUCUCAAUCUUGUAUGGAGUUUCAAUUAAAGACUUGCAUCAGUUGACUCAUAAUUGGUUGGGUAUAGGUGCUUUAGUUCUACACCAUGUUUGGAAAAUUUUGAUGGCUUUCUUGCCCUCAAUUAAGAAAUUUAGUAGAUUGGGAAAUAUGAUAUUUUCUUUAGCAAUUUGAGAAAAUUCGAUUAGCUUAUUUGGAUUUGUAAAUAUUACCAUUUCCCCCGCGGAUCAAUGUUUUUUGAAACUAGAAUCAGAAUUAUCAAUUUGGGUCAAUGUGAACAGAAUAGUGUGCAUAGUACUAUUUGUCCAUACCGACGUCCUCGCCGAUGACACGGGAUGAAGUCCCCACAGAGCGGCUAGAGUCGAGGGUCGAGGAGCGGGAGGGAGGAAGGGUACUGGGCCCUAAAGGAGAAGUACCAAACUGGGCUGAACCCGCAGGAGAAGGUGAAGCUAGAGAAGGAGCCCAUGGGGCAGUUCGUGGAUGACGACAUCAGGGACCUGCCUAGAUCUCCAUGGAGGAGAUCGACGCUGCCAAGCUCACCAAGGACGACGUCGACGUCCGCCUCAAGUGGUUCGGCCUCUUCCACCGCUACAAGCACCAGUGUACGCCCACUAACUCUACACCCCCUGCAAUGGUGAUUUACUUGCUGCUCUUAAUGCAGUCGUUUGCGAUUCAGUUUUAGACGACCAUGUUCUUCAGUUCUUGGUGCACUAAUUCUACAAUGGUGUCUCUGAGAUCCAUUUUAUCAAUCUGGCCUGUGUUAGGAUAUUUGAUGGUACUACCAUCCCCAAUCAUUUGAAGUUUUGACAGAACAAUUUUUUUCAUGUAGCACGCUCCUGAUAAGCUGCCAGCCUUGCCUUUGCUUCACCGUGCAGCUGCUCGAUAACACUAUAUAUGUGCCUCUUGUAGGUUGUUGUUGCUGUUGGUAGGAGCGACCCCACGAGCGUGACACGGACAAAGUAGCCUUCGGUGCCAGGUUCGAUUUGGUUUCUGCUAAGUUUAUCACUCCUACAUUUUCGCAAUUAGUUUCUAUAAAUUAUAUCACUCCAUUUCACUCCUAUGAAAUUACUGCGACUUAAUUUCAAUCGAGGUCAUUCUUCUUGCUCCUUCGCUUUGCUUAGCAGUAAAGACAAUAACUUCAUUUACCUUGCUCAAUAGUUUGCCUUUUAAUUUGAACAAAAAUCUAAUCACCUGACAUUGCGUGGGAGGUAAGCUCCUGUUUUUCACAAACUUUAUCGGUGGACAGUUCACAGUCCUGACAGACCCAUUAAUCUGAUAGAACAGUUAGCAUUAGGUAAUUAUUUUGGCAUUGGCAAUUUUGAUCUACUCCUAUUUUAAAACGCCAUCAUAGGGGUGCUUGCAUUUCUUGUUCAUGGUUUUAUUGCUCAAGUAAAAAUGCCUGCUUUUUAUAUUACUUAUUACAUAUGCAUGGAAAAGCAUGUAGAAGGUAACACCAAUAAAGUUUGGAUCAUAUGUUUCCAUCUAUAAUUGUUGUCUUGGUAUUCUCAAUCAGUGGACUUGUGCAUCGGCAAAAUUUGCAGUCUCCAUAAGGAUGCUAAUGAUAGGUCCUCAACACAAGCCUUAUUGGUAAGCUGAAAAACAGCUUCACACCUUCAUUUCAUUUCAAUAAUCGUCUGCAAGACUAAACCACUUAUCUUAUCCUUCCCUUUCUGUUGUCUUCGAUGCAGGACCAUCCAUUCUUGAGCGUGUAUGAUGACCUGCAUGUAGAUAGGACGAGAUCUCCCCUCGCCACCUUCAAGUAAUGAUAAUGUACUUGUUCUUUUAAUCUUUUCUUUUUAUGUAUCCAUCGUUGUGCACAUAAGUGAUACAUUUUAUUUUACAGUUUCAGGCAACUCUAAUUUUUUGUCCUCCUUAUUAAGCGAAGGGUGUGGUGACGCAUUUCCCUUAUUGGGCAAGGGUUGGGUUGUGUAGUGAGCUGUAAUGAUUCACAAUUCACCUGAUAUCAUGAUCUAGAUGGUUUUCUGAAAUGUGCAUUGAGCCAUUAGGAAACACAAAUGGGGUGUAUUGAUAACAAAUCUUUUUAGUCACAAAGAUUUUUUUUCUUGGAACCAUUAAUAGUUGGCCAACAGCUACAAUGGUACAAGCGUUUGUUUUAAUAUGUUGUGAAUUGCAAUGGUUGCAAGUGCCUUUGUUUUUUGUUUUGCAAAAAGCAGACCACUUAUCUGGUCUCAAGGUUCUUCAUGGCCUUGACUCUCAAAGAUUAGAGUAUUCUUGUCAAUGGGGAUAUCAAUGAAGGUAAAGUUUCCACCCCCUAUCUUUUCUCUACCUACCCAUUUUCUCUAAAAUACAAUAAAACGCUUUUGAAUUAUUGAGUUUGAAGAAUUUUUGUAAUCUUCUCUUGUAGGCUUGCUUCGCCUUUGUCACAAGCUUCAUUGUGUAAGGAAAGAAUAUGCAUACACAUUUAAAAGCACAAGCUUAUCUUAUCAGUGUUCCGAGGUUACCAGGAUCUUGCAAGGUAGGGGCACCAUAGUUAGCAUGAGACCCACUGAACGAAUAUGCAUAACUACAUUUGCAUUAAACAGAAGAUUGGGCCAAAUGAGCUACAACAUAAGAUUUUAUUUGAUAGAAGGGUCUAAUGAAAACAUUGGACCAUGAGAGUGCAGAGGCAGGGCCAUUGCUACUGCAAGUCGCCCCUAAGCCUGGUACUAAGAGUUGUAGGAGGCAAUAAUUCAUAGUUAUCUUUGCCUACAUGCUAUUCUCUAAACACAAUAUUUACGAGCUUGAUAGGCCUGUUUUGGAAUACAAAUUAUGUGUCCGAUAGGUAAAUAAUUUAUGCAAUGAUUCUUAGACCUUUGGCUCUUACUGCUUCAAGGAUUAAUGUGUGACUGUUUAGCCUUCAUUCCAAGCGGUAUGCCACUAAUCUCAAAAAUUGCUUCUACGCAAUAUUUACUUGAUAAUUUAUAGAUUUGUUGUUCCUUAGAGAUAUUUUUUCAUGUAAUAGGUUAUAAGGUUGUUCAUGACAUAUAGAGGUUUGUUGGUCAUAACUUAUACUAUAUGAAGAUUAUGGGAGUCAGCCCUAAAUUCACAUUUUCUGCAAUCUACAGAUUCAUGUAAAAAAGUUCAAUCUACAACAGCAUUUCCUCAAAAUGUCUAACAGACUUGUUUUCUUCAGGCUAGGGACCCAGGGGCUACACAUCUUAUAACUGAAAAACACAUGAGCAGUAUGUUGUUAACACUUUUUUUUCUUGUUUGCGUUUUAUAGAUAGAGGUAUAUAAUAUGGAGACAAACAAUAUUUAAAUCAUUAGAGACCCAUGUAACAAAAAACAGAUUGUUUAACUAUUAUGCUCACUCAAUAUGGAGAUCCUCAAGUAUCUUAGAAUCAGUUGGGCAAACACAAAUUUACAGUCAUAGUUUUCUUUUAUGGUUUUUACAAAUACUUGGUUUGCACUAUUGAUGAAAACAUGGUAUUGUUUCAAGCCAACCUUGAGCAUUCAUCGGAGAAGUUUGAAAAUGUUACUAUCCUUUCUGCUCUUAGUAAAAUAGUUAUUGGACUGUUACAGAAUGAUCAAAUAUUGACCUAUGCUAAUCAAGAGUUGAACGAAAGAAGUGAAGAUUCUUCUGUGUGCAGACAACCAAAACUUUUCUUGAAUUGCCUCAAGAUUGUUAAUACAUUUGUUGACUUACACUUCUAAAUGGGAUACAUGUAUCUGUACCUCCUAAGUGCCCAUGAGGAUGACCCCUGUCUAGUUUAGUAAUCUAUAGGCUUUUUAUGAUAUGCAGGUUUAUGAGGUUGUCAAGUUUUCAUUUCAAUGCAAAUCCAGCUGGACAACACCAUGUCACAAAGCAGGUAUUUAAGCAGAUUUACAAAACCACAAACUUGUUAGAUGAUUUUAUUGGAAGUAAGGUGCUAUUAGGAGUUUACAUUUUAGUUUUUAACUUGGUUGUGCUUCAAGUUUUUUCUACUUUAUCUAAUUUUGUUGGGCAUCUCACAUAAAAGGAAGAUGUUAUUCUUUUCGAGGUUUGUGCCAUACUCAUAGUACAAAGUAAAAAUAUAGUUGUUCAUGUUUCUAAGGGCAUCAACUUCAUUUAGCAUGAGAUGCCUUCCCUGCUCCAUGAUAAUAGUUGCACACAUUAUUUUUACCUUCUGCUGAUCGACCGACACAAAAAAUUGUCUCUUGUAUCUAACUGCAUUGCUACUGUAUUUAUUUCAUUGGUUUCAGUGUGCUUCUAGCUACAGUUCAGUCUUGGCGUCAUCGAAUCAAUGAAACAUGAAGUUAGAAGCACAUUGAGAUCCAGUGGCUUGUGACCAGUGGCUUGUGACUCCUUGACCCUUUAGAGGAAGCGCGCUAGAGUCGUUGGCAAGAAGAAGAGGAUCGCCAAGAAGAAGUCUGAGGCUGCCGAGUAACAAAAGCUUCUUGCUCAGAGGCUGAAGGAACAGAGAGACCGUGAGAGCUUGGCCAAGAGGGGGUCCAAGCUUUCUGCCGCUUCCAAGGCUUCCGCUGCCACCUCUGCUUAAGAAUGUUCGAUGCUUUGAGAUGUUUCAAGACCUAUCUUGUUAGAGCUUAAAUACCUUAUGCUACUCUGAUUGUGUUGCAACUUGCAACUGCCCCUGUACUUGAUAGAUUUGUAUUAGAUGCUCAAGCUAUAGAGGGUAGGUUCCUAAUUAUGGCCAUGUGACUAUGUACUAAAUUAUAUAUCUGUUGCUAAUUUACAAUACAUACAAAAUAAGUUUACUCCGACCAUCUUGUAGAAAAACAAGUUAUAGUGACUAAGGAUGUUUGAAUUGCUCCUAUGUUACUUUUGAUAUUCAUGCUUGUAAUUCCAUUUACAAUGUGAAUAUUGUGUAUAGUAGCCAUAACAUGAUAAUAGAUUGUUAGGGUCACUCAUCAAAUAUUACUAUGUGUCGUCGCAACGUACGGGCACUCCACUAGGGUUUAGGGUUUUACCUGUUGUGCCCUGUUAGGGUCACUCAUCAAAUAUUACAAAGGGCAGGAUCCAUUUACAGUUGGAGCAGAUACGCAUGACGGGGGCACACAUGAAACCUCUGUGAUAUCACUGUUGUGCCCUAUCCCCGUGGACUGCCGGUCGUCGACGCGUCUACGGUUGGAAUGGACGGCUGGGAGAGCUCCCCCUCUUUUUUCUUCACUUUUAUUACGUUACCUUACUCUCCGGCUCUGAAUAGUUUAUUUCUCGUUUGUAGAGAAAUUAAAUCUGUAAACUAUAAUAACAUAUACCGAAUAAGUAUUACUGACACAAUCAUAAAAUAUUUUUUAUUUUUUAUAUUGAAAUAUAUCUGAAGACAAAAAUUUCUAAAAUGGCCAAGGAUCGGCUCGGAGAGUUCACGAUGAUCAGCUCGAGGAGCUCAUGAAGGAGGGGAUGCAUGCAGUCUUGGUUAAGGAUCGGCUCGGGGAGUUUGCGAUGGAUGUGUUUCGAAUUUUUGGGCUUUCCUAACCUUUGAUUUGGUUUGGUUGACAUUUCUUUGUUUGGUCAUCACUUUCCUGUUGAUCUAUUGACAUGCCAUAUUGGUAUAUAUUAUUCUUAUGACAGACAUUGAUUAUGGUGGAUAGUACUUUGAGUAGGUAUGUUCUUGCAUCUUUUUUCCUCAUGUUACAUGCAUGGGCUGUUGAAAAUAUAAGAUCACAGAAAAAUUGAAUUCGACGGCAGAAGUUCUUGUGUGCCAGCUGUUGUGUGCCACUUGUGUGGUGCAAGAAGCAACUGACUAUAUAAUAGCCACCCGCCCCUACGUCGGCCGGCCGUGCACGGCUCACACCUUCCCGGCCGCGCGCGCACUGGCUGCACUGUACGUCCUGCCGGUGGGCAACGACGUGCAUGCAACAUAUACAUGCUUCGAAACGAAGCAACUCGCCCAGCUCCCGCCACCAAACAAGCGAGCUAGGGCCAUUAAAAUCCUCCCGUCCCUGCCCGGCACGGGCCCACCUGGUAGCCGCUACGUGCACGCAACGUCCUAACUACUUUCAUGAGCACCUGGACCUGGCUGGAUCGCAUGCAAAUCCAUGCAUGGCUUGGCUUUUUGCCGCACCAGCCUAUGGUUCUCGAACAUGAUGUAUAUAGAGGAGUAGCACAUCUGGUGGUGCAAUGACCAGGUGUACUACCUCGCUGAUGAGCCAGGGAUGUACUUUGUUUGACAGCCUAGCCAAAAGUCAUCGAGACUCGCCAUAUCGCGCGCGUUCAACUACUAUAUCAAGGACUGUGUGUCAUCUCAGCGCCGAAGGUGAUGCAUAGGAAUACCGACAAUAUUGACCAGUUCGUCAUUCUCGCCACCGACGGGGUAGCUUUUGUGUUGGCCUGCCUUUAAUUCUCUUCGCAAACACAUACUUGACUUUUUGUUUAAGCAAGCACUUAUGGUGGUGUGUGCCUAAUGACUGACGAUGUACGAGGGAACAUCUUCCGAAAUGUGUGGAACGUGCUCUCCAACGAUGAGACUAUGCAAAUCAUGGCAUAUAUUGAAGUCUGAUGCUACUGAUGGUUGCAAUGUAGUGGUGAAACAGUUAGAUUAAAAGAACAAAAUUUAUGUAUGGCCAGGAUCACAAAUGGAUUAUAAAACAUUUUCUUAUAAAACUAUAACACAUAUUUUGUAUAUAAGUUAUUGUGGUAUUAUAUAUUCCCGUUGCAACGCACGGGCACACACCUAGUAUAUAUAUAUAUAUAUUCGUUCAACCAUAUGCUUCAAAACAUAAAGCUCAUAUUUUAUUUUCUUAAGAUAUUUCUUUGGAUGCGUACUCUAAAUUUCAUUACUUAUUUAUUUACGAAAACUCAAUAUAUAAUCUUUACCAUGAAUUUUAAUUCAUAUAUAUAUAUAUGUAAAGAGUGCUUUAAUUAUAUAGUUUAUAAAGGAAAUAAUUCAAAUGUCUUUCUACUAUUUAUUGUUCCAAGUUUUAGUUUUUUUAUCUAAGUUUUGAGUACCAAACUCUUACUAUUAUUUAUGUACUUUAGAGAGAUAUACUUCAUAAAGGAAUGAAAUCAUUAUUAGAAGUCAUUUUAUCUCAAAUCUUUUGAGCAUGAUUUAUAGAUUCCAAAAUAGGAUUUUGGUGUUACAAAUCCUACCCCCCUUAACAUUAAUCUCGUCCUCAAGAUUUGUAAGAAAAGGAAUAUAGGAAGAAUGGUUUGCAAUUUAGCUUUAAGUUUCUAAUUAGUUCAAAAAUCAAGAACUCUUUUUUUCAUUAGUGAGUGAUUAGGAGAGCAUGGGUAUAUAUGAGUAUAGCCACUUUAUUAUGCAGGAUAAAAGAUAUCUUUAAAGCAUUUAUAGGUUUGGGUAAGAAAGGGUAGGGCUAGGAAAGACUCUAUCCAAGAUUGUGAAUCCUGAUUCCUUUGAAGAUCUAUCUUGAAUCUUAUCCUUCCUUGAUUUGAUGAGGUCGAUCAUCUUCAAUCUUCGUUCUUGAAGUCUUUAUCCGAAUUAGGGGCAUGUAGUUAGGAUAACUUGUAGGUAAGGACAGAUGGUUAACAGGUUGGUGGCAUAAGAUAAGUGUAUUAUGGCAACAUCUAGGAUGGGAUGGAUGGUCACCAUGAAUAUGCUGGUAAGUUAUUUGUUCAUGGGUGGUUUGGUUUGAUGUACUAAUUUAAGUUAAAACAUGGCCAGCAGGGUAUAAUCUAUUUCACUAGUAUUAACUAGUCUGUUAAGUAAUUCACUUUAGAUUGGACCAUAUUAGAUUAGAUGGGAUCUAGAUUAGAUUGGUAUAACUAGAUUAGACUAGAUAAUAUCUAAUUACUUUGGAUUAGAUCAUGGUUGUUAUUCUAGAGUGGGAUAAAUAUGCUAAUUAGGGCAUGAUGAAUUCAUAAAGAUAAGGUAGAAUCUUUUGAGACAAGAUGGAUCUAUGGGUGUAGAAUACGAAUAUUUUAAGAUGAGAUGAAUAUUGUUAGGCAAGAUACUUUAAUGAGGGAUAAUCUAGUUUGUCUAGUUAUUUUUAUAAGUAUUUUUUAUGUCUAGAUAUAUAUGCAGAGGUAAUUGUGGACAUUGAUCCACAACCCAUCACACUCAAUCAAAGAUCCAAAUUAGACAAAUAUCAUAAGAACAAGCAUUCAAGCAUAUAGAUACAAAAAAAUAAUAGUUUUGUUUUUGUUCCUAAGAGUAGGUCUCCUAUUCCUAAAAGUCACUUUAAGCACAGGAUUUCAAAGUGUGAAUUCCAAGUUUGUCUUUAGAAGAAAAAAGGUAAGAGUAAUCAGAGUAAAGCGAAAAUAGAUGAGAAAAGAUCAAGAAGAGUUUAGAAAAGAUCAGAGUAGCAAAGGUAAGUAAGUAUUGGUUGUCCAGUUCUAUCUAGGUUUCGUCCUACAGUCAACAUUCCUCUGAUACCACUUCUGUCACACCCGGGUUUUUGGGGUCUUAAGCCCGGACGUGAACAUAAUCACCAGGUGUGCUGGGACCAAGUCUCACACAUAUGAUGAAUCAUGGCACAUGAUCGAAUGUCACAACUUUACUAUAUAAUAGGAGUUCUAUACAAAAUAAAUAAAUAAUUACAUUAUAAGGAGACAAUGGUCCAGCAACCCAAAGUUGACUGGGAGACGACGGCCUAGACCUCUCACGAACUCGCACAACAUCCUCCCUGCGCCUCAUCCUUCGGUACCUGCUCUUGACCUGUGUGGGGGGUGUGAGACAGCAAGAGUGAGCUCACAUACGUUCAUCGCUCAACAAGUUGUGGGGAAUAAUGUGCAUGAACUCGCCGAAGGUGGGAGCUCACGUGAAGUGUAAGGCUUACCAAAGAGGAUGGUUAGAGCUGAGCAUUGCUUUUAAAGUUGGUCAAAAUUUUAUUAGCAGUUACUAAGUAUAAGUAAAUACCAACCCAAUUAAGAAAAGUAAUAACAUCACCUGCGAUGCAAUGCAUAUGACAAAUUGAAUUUAGUUCCAUAAAUUAAUCAUGUGAGGGUCCGAGCUGCUCAUGACCAUGAGCACGACUAGUAUACCAGUUUUACACUCUGCAAAGGUUGCGCAUCUUUACCCACAAGUCAUGUUUCCCAUCUGCCAAGGGAUCGCGACUUCCCAUACACCUCUACCGAGGAGGCGAGGCAGGGCAAUACUACGAGGCCUUUACAAAGUUCCACUAGCUUCAGAAAACCCGCUACAGUUUUGUCGGCGUUUCGACCCGGGGGGUCCCUGGACCGACGAGUAAAUUGUUGCUGCGUGUCCCAGCCCAGAUGGGUCGGCGCGAGACGGAACACAAGGGGGAACAAUAAGGGGAACCAUGGCUCGUGUUGUCCUGCACCCAGGGCGGAUGCGCUUGCAGUAGGGGGUUACAAGCGUUCACGAGGGAGAGAGAGAGAGAGACUGUCCGUUAGCCCGUUCUCCCGCGCGGCCACCCUCUCGUAUGAGGGCCCUGGACCUUCCUUUUAUAGACGUAAGGAGAGGGCCCAGGUGUACAAUGGGGGGUGUAGCAGUGUGCUAACGUGUCCGGCAGAGAGGAGCCAGAGUCCUAUGUACAUGCCGACGUGGCUGUCGAAGAGGUGUUAGUGCCCUAUGCAUGUGGCGUCGUGGCCGUCGGAGGAGUACUUGAGCCCUGUAGAAGCACAGCUGUCGGGGCUGUUGGGACCUUGUUGACGUCUCCUUGCUUCCGUAGGGAGCUGAGAACCGCCGUCGUCAUAGGAGCAUGCGGGGUGACAUCAUUACUUGUUUUACCGGGGCGAGCCAGAUGGGACGCUGGUCUUGUUCCCCGUAGCCUGAGCUAGCUAGGGGUAGGGUAAUGAUGUACCCCCCUGCGACGUGGUCGGUCCGAGCCCAAGGUCGGGCGAGGCGGAGACUCCUCCGAGGUCGGGGCUGAGUCCGAGCCCUAGGGUCGGGCGAGGCGGAGACCAUCGUCCGAGGUCGAGGUUGAGUCCGAGCCCUGGGGUCGGGCGAGGCGGAGACCAUCGUCCGAGGUCGAGGUUGAGUCCGAGCCCUAGGGUCGGGCGAGGCGGAGACCGUCGUCCGAGGUCGAGGUUGAGUCCGAGCCCUGGGGUCGGGCGAGGUGGAGACCGUCGUCCGAGGUCGAGGUUGAGUCCGAGCCCUGGGGUCGGGCGAGGCGGAGACCGUCGUCCGAGGUCGAGGUUGAGUCCAAGCCCGGGGGUCGGGCGAGGCGGAUCUUCCUAUGGCGCCUGAGGCCGGACAUGGUGGCUGUCAGCCUCACCCUGGUGGGUGGCACAGCAGUCGGAGCACCGUAGGCGGCGCUGUUUUCCUGUCAGGUCAGUCAGUGGAGGGGCGAGGUGACAGUGGUCACUUCGGCCCUGUCGACUGAAGAAGGUGCGACAAGAUAAGGUGUCAGGCGAUCCUUGCAUUGAAUGCUCCUGUGAUUUGGUCGGUUGGCGAGGCAAUCUGGCCAAGGUUGCUUCACUGUGAAGCCUGCCCGAGCUGGGCCUCGGGCGAGUCGAUGGUGCGCCCGUUUCUUGAGGAGGCCCUCGGGCAAGGUGUGAAUCCACCUGGGUCUAUUGUUCCUGUCCGAGGCUGGGCUCGGGCGAGGCGAGAUCGUGUCGCUUGAGCGGAUGGAGCUUUGACCUGCAUUGCGCCCAUCAGUCCUUUGCAGCUUUGUGCUGAUGGUGUUUACCAGCCGAGUUUAGGAGUCUUAGGGGUACCCCUAAUUAGGGUCCCCGACAGUAGCCCCCGAGCCUCAAAGGGAGUGUUGGUACUCGCUUGGAGGCUUUGUCGCACUUUUUUGCAAGGGGACCGGCCUUUCUCGGUUACACUUUGUUCCGGUGGGUGCGCGCGAGCGCACCCAUCGGGUGUAGCCCCCGAGGCCUCAGAGGAGUGGUUUGACUCCUUCGACGUCUUAAUGCCUUUCGCGAUGCCUCGGCCGAUCUGGUUGUUCCCUCAUGCGAUCUGAUCGUAGUCCGGGUGCAUGGUCAGGUUCCGAAUCCUCGGGCUGGUAUGUUGACGCUGUCAACGGUUUGGCCGGAGCCGGGUUUGCGAGAGCAGCCCCCGAGCCUCUGCACAGGGCGAGAGGAUGGUCAAGGACUGACUCGGCUUUUUUCAUACGCCCCUUUGUCGCCUUUCCGCAAGGAGGAGGGGGGAAAGCGCCAUGUUGCCCUCGGAGGGCGCCGAACAUGGUGUCUCCAGUGAGUUGCUAACGGGUGAUCCGAGUGGACGCCCGUGCCCUGUUGGAUAAGGGUCGGCUAGUGGCCCAGAGGCGCGCUCCAAAAGUACCUGCAGGUGAUUUGCCAGACCCGGUCCAGUUUGAUAGGGUUCGAGGGCUCGAUGCCUCCCUCUGAUGGGAUUCCGUUACAGAAUCGCUCCUACUGGUCUCGGAAAUGUCCUAGGGUACCUCGGGAGCGUAGCCCGAGCGUCGGCCAUGUAUCGGACGUACCCAGAGUCAUCCCUCGCUCUGCGUGUUCUAAGGCGGCUGUCAAACCCUUCGGGGGGCCAGCCUUCGAACCCCUGAUCAGUAGUGGGCGCGGAGCCCGAGUGGCCUGAGGCGGCUGUUGAACCCUUCUGAGGGGCCAGCCUUCGAACCUCUGACCAGUAGUGAGCGUGGAGCCCGAGUGCUCUGGGGUGGCUGUCGAACCCUUCCGAGGGGCCAGCCUUCGAACCCCUGAUCAGUAGGAGGGCUCGGGGCCCGCUUCCUUCGCAGAGAAGGAUCCCUUUCGGAGUAUCCCCUUUCCCGGUCCCUGUAGCAAGAGAGAGAAAGGGGAAGAGGAAAAGGAUACGAAAUUGAACGAUGUGGCGCACCUUUUUUGACGCAGUCAUUAUGGCGGAGGUGAAGCGUCGCCCGCUUCGCCUGCCAAAGGUGUCGCCUGCCCUACCGUGGAGUUAAUGCGAUGGGACGAGUGGUUCGCGGGGCAGCCGUUGCGCGAGCCAUUCGAGGAACGGAACACGGGCGCGUUGUCUUCACGCCGUGGGAGAGGGCUCUCCUGCUGCCCCAGGAGGGGACGUGAGCCUGCAGACGAUUUGACCGCCGCUUCCGCUCGCCUGCUGCCGCCAUUACUGUCAGCCCACUUCUGGCCAUAUCGACCGUCGCGCCUUCUCCCGCGGCUGACUGACCCAUGACCGUCGUGCUUGGCUGGCACUGUUGGUCUAUGCGCAGGGUUGCCUCGAAUCGCGGCACCGGUUCCGCAGUCGAGAAGGCGCAGCAUUGGCGUAAGUAAAGGUGCAGUUUUUCGCACGCAGUAACCGGCACGCCGGUUACAUGACGUGUGGGCCCGAGACUCCAUGCUGGACGCGUCGAAGUCGAAAGGGUGCCUCCCCGUGGUGCGGUUGCAUGCCGCCUGCGUGGCGGUCCGCCCUUUCACCCGCUGGUUUAGGCGAAGAUGGAGGAGUGCUUGUAACCGCUGGGCGGUUACACGCUCCACGCGCGGUCGUACGCCGCGAGGGCGGUACUCGUGUUCUGGGACGGUCCCAUUCUCAUUUUCGUGGCGAGGACGGGAGUGAGGACCUGCCGGUGCGCUUUGGGGCGGCCGGCACUCGCUGGUGCGGUGUUGGUGGGCAGGUGGACGCCACCGUCGGGGCUGAGGUGGCCGGAGAAGGCUUCCCCGCCGACGAGACCGUCAGCGCCACCCGCGGACCGACCCCCGGCUCUUUGGCUUUAAUAUCUGGUUCUCGUCCCUCGAGUGGGGACACGAACGAGAGCCUUCUAGCAGUAGCAUCUGCCCUGGGACCAUCGCUGCUGCUGCAGAGGUCGCCGGCGAGUCACCCAGAGCUUGUCGUCCCGCAGGCCCUCCGAUGUGGAGGGUUGUUCAUACCAGCGGGAGUGGAACCGGAGUUCCGUUUGUAAUGGCAUCUUGGGUGCCGGUGUAUGUUCAUCGCGGCUGUCGGGGCCUGAACAUCUGUGUAUUUGGGCGUAAAGCCGUGUUUCUUCCUCAUUUCGAGCACCAGGUCUCGCCUGUCGGCUAGCUGAACCGCUUGACCAAGUGUGAGUUGCCCUGCGCGGAAGGUGACGAGUGAGGUAUCAGUAUCCUGGAGGCGUAGGAGUCCCUUGGCUCAGUCUGUAGUGUGUGUAUGUUUUUUUGCGGCCGCCGAGGCCCAAACAUGUCAUCGUCGUGUUAUAAAGCUGCGUUUCUUUUCCUCUUAUUUUGAGUAUCAGGACUUGUUUGUCGGUAGCAGAAUCGCUCAUCCGAGCGAGAGUUACUUAUCGCGGAAGGUGAUGAGUGAGGUAUCCGUAUCCCGGAGGCGUAGGAGUCCCUCGGCUCGGUCGGCCUUCGCCGCUUACGUGUACUCUUGCUCGUCUGCGGGAUUCUGUUAUCGAUAUAGUCGAGAAGGCACGAAAAAUCGUUUCGGCAGAAAAGUUUUCGAGCGUUAAGACUUGUUCGGUCAGCGGAAUCACUUAUCCGAGCGUGAGUUACUUAUCGCGGAAGGUGAUGAGUGAGGUAUAUGUAUCCCGGAGGCGUAGGAGUCCCUCCGCUCGGUCGGCCUUGUCGCUUACGUGUACUUCGUCGUUUUCAGGAUGUCACUAUUGAAGUAGUCAAAAAGCGCAAAAGAUGUUCCGGCAGAAAGACUUUUUCCGAGGAAAAUUUUGACGCAGAGGGGGUUCCCCCCUUCUAGCCCCCGAGGGAGGGUCGGGCUUUGCCGAGGCUAGGCUGACCCUUCCUUGAUGGUUAGACUUUAUUUGUGUAUGUAAACGAGGUAUAUGAACGACUUGAAAACAUCUUAAGGGCAGAAGCGAUAUAGUUGUCGGAUGUUCCAAGCGUUGUUGUAGACCUCGCCUUGACUAUUGGCCAACUUGUAUGUUCCAGGCUUCAAGAUCUUGGCGGUGAUGAACGGCCCUUCCCAGGGAGGAGUGAGCUUGUGACGCCCUCGGGCGUCUUGUCAUAGCCGAAGCACUAGGUCGCCCACCUAGAGGUCUCGGGACCGAACCCCUCGGGCGUGGUAGCGUCGCAGGGACUACUGAUACCGCGCCGAUUGUAGUAAGGACAUGUCCCGAGCCUCUUCCAGCUGGUCCAGUGAGUCUUCUCGGCUUGUCCGGUUGCUUCGGUCGUCGUACGCCCUCGUCCUUGGGGAAUCGUAUUCUAAGUCUGUGGGCAGGAUAGCCUCGGCCCCAUAGACUAGAAAAAACGGCGUGAAGCCCGUGGCUCGGCUUGGCGUCGUUCUCAGACUCUAGACCACCGAGGGGAGUUCCUUUAUCCAUCGCCUGCCGAACUUGUUGAGGUCGUUGUAGAUCCUCGGCUUGAGUCCCUGCAGAAUCAUAUCGUUGGCACGCUCUACCUGCCCAUUCGUCAUGGGGUGAGCUACGGCGGCCCAGUCCACCCGGAUGUGGUGGUCCUCGCAGAAGUCUAGGAACUUCCUGCUAGUGAACUGGGUGCCGUUGUCGGUGAUGAUGGAGUUUGGGACCCCAAAGCGAUGGAUGAUGUUGCUGAAGAAUGCCACCGCCUGUUCGGACCUGAUGCUGCUUAGGGGUCAGACCUCAAUCCACUUGGAGAAUUUGUCGAUAGCGACCAGCAGGUGCGUGAAGCCCCCGGGUGCCUUCUGCAAGGGACCGACGAGAUCCAGACCCCACACAGCAAACGGCCAGGUGAUGGGUAUUGUUUGCAGGGCCUGAGCGGGCAGGUGUGUCUGCCUUGCGUAGAACUGACACCCUUGGCAGGUGCGUACAAUCCUAGUGGUGUAGGCCACCGCGGUUGCCCAUUAGAAACCUUGUCGGAAGGCGUUUCCAACGAGGGCUCGAGGCGCUGCAUGGUGACCGCAAGCCCCCGAGUGUAUUUCUUGCAAUAGCUCCUGUCCUUCGGUGAUGGAUAUGCAUCGCUGGAGGAUGCCUGAGGGGUUGCGAUGGUAGAGCUCCUUCUCGUCACCCAGCAAGACGAACGACUUGGUGCGCCGCGCCAGUCGCCGAGCUUCGGCUCUAUCGAGGGGUAGCUCUCCUCGGUGGAGAUAUUGCAGGUACGGGGUCUGCUAGUUUCGAUUAGGCGGGACCCCAUUCCGCUCUUCCUCGACGCGUAAAGCCUCACCCUCGGGGGCCGAGGGUGCCUCGGGCUGAGCCGAGGGUGCCUCGGGCCGAGCUGAGGGCGCCUCGGGCAGGGCCGAGGCCUUCUCAGGCUCGGGAGAGUCGUCGGUCUUGACGGAGGGUUGAUGUAGGUCUCGGGAGAAGACGUCCGGGGGGACCGUUGUCCGCCCCGAGGCUAUUUUAGCCAGCUCGUUCGCAGUCUCGUUGUACCAUCGGGCGACGUGGUUGAGCUCGAGCCUGUAGAACUUGUCUUCCAGGCGCCGAACCUUGUCGCAGUAGGCUUCCAUCUUCGGGUCGCGGCAGUGGGAGUUCUUCAUGACUUGGUCGAUGACAAGCUGCGAGUCGCCACGAGCGUCGAGGCGCCGAACCCCUAGCUCGAUGGUGAUGUGCAACCUGUUAACCAGGGCCUCGUACUCAGCCACGUUGUUGGACGCCGGGAAAUGGAGGCGCAGCACGUAGCGGAGGUGCUUUCCGAGGGGUGAAAUGAAGAGCAGGCCCGCGCCCGCUUCUGUUUUCAUCAGCGACCCGUCGAAAAACAUGGUCCAGAGUUCUGGUUGGAUCGGAGCUGCUAGAAGCUGGGUGUCGACCCAUUCAGCCACGAAGUCCGCCAAGACUUGGGACUUGAUGGCCUUCCGAGGGGCGAACGAGAUUGUCUCGCCCAUGAUCUCCACCGCCCACUUUGCAAUCCUACCCGAGGCCUCUCGGCACUGGAUGAUCUCCCCCAGGGGGAAGGACGACACCACAGUCACCGGAUGAGACUCGAAGUAGUGUCGCAACUUUCGCCGCGUCAGAAUUACCGCGUACAGUAGCUUCUGAAUUUGCGGGUAGCGGAUUUUGGUCUUGGACAGUACCUCACUGAUGAAGUAGAUCGGCCUCUGGACGAGCAAUGCAUGCCCUUCUUCUCGUCUCUCGACCACGAUCGCGGCGCUGACCACCUGAGUGGUUGCGGCUACGUAGAUCAAGAGGGCUUCUCCGGCAACGGGGGGCACCAGGAUGGGCGCGCUGGUAAGGAGCGCCUUUAAGUUCCCGAGGGCUUCCUCGGCCUUGGGGGUCCAAGUGAAGCGCUCGGUCUUCCUUAAGAGGCGGUACAGGGGUAGGCCUCUUUCGCCGCGGCGCGAGAUGAAGCGGCUCAGAGCCGCAAGGCAUCCCAUGACCCUCUAUACUCCUUUCAAGUCCUUGAUGGGACCCAUGUUGGUGAUGGCCGCGUUUUUCUCUAGGUUGGCCUCGAUGCCCUACUCAGAGACGAUGAACCCCAGGAGCAUGCCUCGGGGGACUCCGAAGACGCACUUCUCGGGAUUGAGUUUUACGCCUUUCCCCUUGAGACACUUGAAUGUCGUUUCAAGGUCAGAGAGGAGGUCGGAGGCUUUCCUUGUCUUGACUACGAUGUCAUCGACGUAAGCCUCGACCGUUCGGCCAAUGUGCUCUCCGAACACGUGGUUCAUGCACCUUUGGUAUGUCGCGCCCGCAUUCCUCAAACUAAACGGUAUAGUAAUAUAGCAGUACAUGCCAAAAGGUGUGAUGAAAGAAGUCGCGAGCUGGUCGAACUCUUUCAUCCUGAUUUGGUGAUACCCUGAGUAGGCAUCGAGGAAUGACAGGGUCUCGCACCCAGCAGUGGAAUCCACGAUUUGAUCGAUGCGAGGCAGAGGGUAGGGAUCCUUCGGACAUGCUUUGUUUAGACCAGUGUAGUCUACACACAUCCUCCAUUUCCCACCUUUCUUUUUCACAAGCACAGGGUUGGCUAGCCAUUCGGGAUGGAAUACCUCUUUGAUGAACCCUGCAGCCAUCAACUUGUGGAUCUCCUCGCCUAUGGCUCUGCGAUUUUCUUCGUCGAAUCGGCGCAAAGGCUGCUUCACGGGUCGGGCUCCAGCUUGGAUAUCCAGCGAGUGCUCGGCAACAUCCCUCGGUAUGUCAGGCAUGUCCGAGGGACUCCACGCAAAAACCUCGGCGUUCACGGGAGAAAGUCGACGAGCACUGCUUCCUAUUUAGGGUCGAGCUCGGAGCCGAUCUGGACUUGCUUGGAGGCGUCGUUGCUGGGGUCGAGAGGGACGGACUUAACCGCCUCUGCUGGCUCGAAGUUGCCGGCAUGGUGCUUCGCAUCUGAUGACGGGAUCGACAACGAGCGGGUACUUCCCCGGGCUCGGCAUGCGGUCGGGGUGGUCGCCUUGGUCGAAGAUGAUGGGCUUGUCGGACCAGACCAAGUAGACUGGCGCCGCCACCUUCACCGAGCAGACCUCCCGGCGCUCCUGCUUGUGGUGCCAAGCGAGGCGUUCGCCACUUGCCCACCGUAGAUCAUGAAGCAGUCGUGGACCUCGGGGAUCUCUUCUGCCUUGUGGCCCUCCUUCUUGUCGUUGUCAUGGGCUUUGCCACCUUCCGCCGGGGGACCGGCCUUGUGGAAGUAGCGCCGAAGCAUGACGCACUCCUCAAGGGUGUGUUUGACGGGACCCUGAUGAUAGGGGCACGACUCCUUGAGCAUCUUGUCGAAUAGGUUGGCCCCUCUGAGAGGCUUCCGGGGGGUUCCUGUGUUCGGCGGUGGCGACAAGAUCUGCGUCGGCGGCGUCGCGUUUCGCUUGCGACUUCUUCUUGCCCUUCUUCUUCGCGCCGCGCUGAGCGGACGCCUCGGGGACGUCUUCUUGCUGGCGACCCUGAGGCUGCUUGUCCUUCCGGAAGAUGGCUUCGACCGCCUCCUGGCCAGAGGCGAACUUGGUGGCGAUGUCCAUCAGCUCGCUCGCCCUGGUGGGGGUCUUGCGACCCAGCUUGCUCACCAGGUCGCGGCAAGUGGUGCCGGCGAGGAACGCGUCGAUGACAUCUGAGUCGGUGAUGUUGGGCAGCUCGGUGCGCUGCUUCGAAAAUCGCCGGAUGUAGUCCCACAGGGACUCUCCCGACUGCUGGCGGCAGCCUCGGAGAUCCCAGGAGUUCCCAGGGCGCACGUAUGUGCCCUGGAAGUUUCUGGCGAAGGCUUUGACCAGGUCGUCCCAGUUGGAGAUCUACGCAGGAGGCAGAUGCUCCAGCCAGGCCCGGGCGGCGUCGGAGAGGAACAUGGGGAGGUUGCGGAUGAUGAGGUUGCCAUCGUCCGUUCCACCCAGCUGGCAGGCCAGCCGGUUGUCCGCGAGCCACAGUUCCGGCCUUGUUUCCCCCGAGUACUUGGUGAUGGUAGUCGGGGUUCGGAACCGGGUCGGGAACGGCGCCCGUCGUAUGGCCCGGCUGAAAGCAUGCGGACCGGGUGGUUCGGGCGAGGGGCUCCGAUCCUCCCCGCUGUCGUAGCGUUCCCCACGCCUGGGGUGGUAGCCUCGGUGCACCUUUUCGUCGAGGUGGGCUCGACGAUCGCGGCGGUGGUGCUCGUGGCCGAGGCGACCCGGGGCUGCGGGCGUUGCGUCCCGCGUGCGCCCGGUGUGGACCGAGGCUUCCCGCAUGAAACGGGAAGUCACAGCGCGAUGCUCCGGGGGGUACCCCUGCCUCCGAGAGGCAGAGCUUUCGGCCCGUCGGACCGCGGCAUCCUUCAGGAUAUUCUUGAGUUCUCCCUGGAUACGCCGCCCCUCGGUGGUGGAUGGCUCCGGCAUCGCUUGAAGUAGUAUUGCUACUGCAGCCAGGUUCUGGCCGACCCCACUAGAAGCCGGGGGCAGCCUUGCCCUGGCAUCGUCGGCGAUGCGAUGCUGGACGUCCUGGGCAGAUGACGCACUUCUCCGGCUGGUGCUCGGCCUGCCCACUCCUGCCCGAUGUUCUGCCGGAGCUGCACAAGUUGUCCUGCUUCCUCGUCGAGCAUGACCUGCAUCUCGCGGAUUUGCUCGAGCUGUGCGUCCCGACCCCCCGCGGGGAUUGGGACCACAACUAGCUCCCGAAGGAUGUCAACGCGAGGCACAGGCCUAGGGGGAUCGCCGUCCUCUGGCAUACCAAGGUGGUUGCCUUCGUCGAGACCCCCUAGAUCGACGUGGAAACAUUCGCGACUUGGGCCACAGUCCUCGUCGUCAAGGCUGUAGCUACCAUCGGAGCAAUCGGAGAGGCAGUAGUCACAUGCGGUCAUGAAGUCCCGCAUGGCACUGGGGUUAUCGAGCCCGGAGAAAUCCCAACCAUAGUCGGGCUCGUCAUCUUCCUCGGAACCCGGGGGCCCGUAGGUCGAGACGGCCGUCAGUCGGUCCCAGGUUGACCACAUGUGGUACCCCGGAAGGUUUGGAUAUGCCUUUAUGAAAGCGUCCACCGAAGCGGGGUCGCUUGGUGGAUCGAAGCUGAAUCUAAAAGGCACAGGGUGGAAAAUGGACGGUACCUCUUGAUCAAUGGAUGGUGACGAAGUCGUGUCGGGGACGGACUACACUGUUAUCUCAGGUACGAGGCUAACGCCCAGCAAGUCCUUCACGAGCGUGCUGGCAUCAUCCGUCCGCUUGGGGUUGGCGUGUUGCGGGGAAACGACGCCCGUCUUCGUCUCAGACGCGAGGUCGACGCCCGACGUGUGCCCCGCUGGGGCGCCGGCGUCAUCGACUCACUCGACAGCCGACGAGGUGCCGCCUCCUGCUUGGCCAUGGUUGCCCCGCCUCCUCCUCCCGCGGCGGGGAAGGUGACGGGACAGACCCGGAUGCUGCUCUUCCGCCACGCGGGGAAGACGUCGUCGAUUCCGCCGCCGGCGGGCGGGCUGACGGCCGCCAUUGUCGUUGUCGCGCGGCGGUGGGAGGAGUACCAUGUCGUAGCUGUCGUCGAGGGACAUGAACUCGAGACUCCCGAAAUGGAGCAUCGUCCCGGGCUGGAGAGAUUGCUGGAGACUACCCAUCUGGAGCUUGAUGGGAAGCUGUUCGUCAGCACGCAGCAGGCCCCUACCUGGCGCGCCAACUGUCGGCGUUUCAACCCCGGGGGGUCCCUGGACCGACGAGUAAAUUGUCGCUGCGUGUCCUAUCCCAGAUGGGUCGGUGCGAGACGGAACACAAGGGGGAACAAUAAGGGGAACCGCAGCUCGUGUUGUCCUGCGCCCAGGGCGGAUGCGCUUGCAGUAGGGGGUUACAAGCGUUCGCGAGGGAGAGAGAGAGAGAUUGUCCGUCAGCCCGUUCUCCCGCACGGCCACCCUCUCGUACGAGGGCCCUGGACCUUCUUUUUAUAGACGUAAGGAGAGGGCCCAGGUGUACAAUGGGGGGUGUAGCAGUGUGCUAACAUGUCCGGCAGAGAGGAGCCAGAGUCCUAUGUACAUGCCGACGUGGCUGUCGGAGAGGUGUUAGUGCCCUGUGCAUGUGGCGUCGUGGCCGUCGGAAGAGUACUUGAGCCCUGUAGAAGCACAGCUGUCGGGGCUGUCGGGACCUUGCUGACGUCUCCUUGCUUCUGUAGGGGGCUGAGAACCGCUGUCGUCAUAGGAGCAUGCGGGGUGCCAUCAUUACUUGUUUUACCGGGGCGAGCCAGAUGGGACGCCGGUCUUGUUCCCCGUAGCCUGAACUAGCUAGGGGUAGGAUAAUGAUGUAACCCCCUGCGACGUGGUCGGUCCGAGCCCAAGGUCGGGCGAGGCGGAGACUCCUCCAUGGUUGGGGCUGAGUUCGAGCCCUGGGGUCGGGCGAGGCGGAGACCGUCGUCCGAGGUCGAGGUUGAGUCCGAGCCCUGGGGUCGGGCGAGGCGGAGACCAUCGUCCGAGGUCGAGGUUGAGUCCGAGCCCUGGGGUCGGGCGAGGCAGAGACCGUCGUCCGAGGUCGAGGUUGAGUCCGAGCCCUGGGGUCGGGUGAGGCGGAGACCGUCGUCCGAGGUCGAGGUUGAGUCCGAGCCCUGGGGUCGGGCGAGGCGGAGACUGUCGUCCGAGGUCGAGGUUGAGUCCGAGCCCAGGGGUCGGGCGAGGCGGAGCUUCCUAUGGCGCCUGAGGCUAGACUUGGUGGCUGUCAGCCUCACCCUGGCGGGUGGCACAGCAGUCGGAGCAGCGCAGGCGGCGCUAUUUUCCUGUCACGUCAGUCAGUGGAGGGGCGAAGUGACGGCGAUCACUUCGGCCCUGUCGACUGAAGAACGUGCGACAGGAUAAGGUGUCAGGCGAUCCUUGCAUUGAAUGCUCCUGCGAUUUGGUCGGUUGGCGAGGCGAUCUGGCCAAGGCUGCUUCACUACGAAGCCUGCCCGAGCUGGGCCUCGGGCGAGUCGAAGGUGCGCCCGUUGCUUGAGGAGGCCCUCGGGCGAGGCGUGAAUUCACCUGGGUCUACUGUUCCUGUCCGAGGCUGGGCUCGGGUGAGGCGAGAUCGUGCCCCUUGAGCGGAUGGAGCUUUGACCUGCAUUGCGCCCAUCAGGCCUUUGCAGCUUUGUGCUGAUGGUGUUUACCAGCCGAGUUUAGGAGUCUUGGGGGUACCCCUAAUUAGGGUCCCCGACAAGUUUAUAGGAAGCUCCAAUGCAGGGACCCCUUGCCUGACCGCCAUCGCAGCAAAAUCAACCAAGGACCUCCCAACACUGACCACUCCCCUAUUGCCCUUGCCCCUUUCGGGUAAGGUAGUCCUCCACUAGCUUUCCUAAUUAAUCAGCCAAGGGCGUCCAUAAACCCUUGUGGUAGCACUGUUUUCCCGGGUGGUCGCUCCAUGUUCCAAUUAACAUAAUGAUCUUAUCAUGAACAGUAAAUAACAACGGAUAACAAAAGUAUAAUCAUGAAUAAUGUGUAUCUCAAUGCCCAAAACCACAUAUAGCACUAGCAAGUACUACCCAAAAAGUUCAGUGGUAAACAAGGCAUAAAGAUAGACAAACUAGGGUAACCUAUUAGGUCCCAUCAAAAUUAACCUAUGCAGAUCAUUAUGAUUAAUUAGAACAAGUGAUCAAGGGCACAACUUGCCUGGGACUUGAUAUUCCAGGUACCAACUUGCUCUUCAGAUGACACGUGUCCUCACCGCUAAACGUAGCAAUACAGACAAACAUGUAUAGGCAAAAUUAACAUCAUACCAAACAUAACAAUAAAUUGCGCAAUAAUAACCUAUGCGCCGCUAUGAGAUCGUGGGAACAAGAAUCACUAAAUUUGGAGUUAUAGUUAUUUAGUUAUGAAUUUCUGAAGUUAUUAAGCACCUAGAACAUAUUAAUUCGAAUGAACAAUUUUAAUUCAAGUUUCAUGGCUAAACAAUGUUACAAGUGGAUAGACAAUAUUAAUACCAAAUUAUUGCAACUUGAAUGACUCAAUUUGAAGUUAAAAUGAAUUAACUAUGAAUUUCGCAAGUUUCUAGAAUUAUUUUUGUAUUAGAAAUCAAUUUCUGUAAUUAAUUAUCCAUUUUUAUUGUUCUCUGGACCGAACACCAAUUACAGAGAAAAACGGGGGCGGAAACAGAAGUUUUACCCAGACUCAGACAAAUCAUGUGAUGGACUGCGGGUUGAUUUGGAAUAAGACGAGGGGUUCUUUUGAAUAAUUUAGCACCCGAAAGGGUAAUUUCAAUCCUGAGCCAUCCGAUCAAACUCGCACGACCCAGAUUAGAUCGAGUACCCUUCCGAACCGGUACUCACUGGUGAUCGUGAGAUGGGCGAUCGAUGGUGGAGAUUUUAAACAACGCUGCCAGCCGCACGACCGAACGAUCCAGGAUCGACGGCCCACGCACGAAGGGUAUAACGUUUAUAAUCACAGCCGCCAACCGCGAGAUCUACGGUCUGGAUCCCACCCCAUCAAAGCGGUAUGUUUCUCAGAAUCCUGGUCGUUAAGUAUCUGAUCGACGGCUGAGCGCCCUUCUUCUACCUAACGCUGGGCACGACGGAGUCCUGGCCUGACCGGCGGCAAACACGCCGGUGAACAGCCAUCCCGCCCAACAGGCAUUCAUCCCUAAAUCCGAAAGGUGUUACGCAAAGUGGAAGAAGAUAUGAGUUCACUAGAGGUGCCCUUACCAGCAAUCGUGUAGCCGAAGCCUUGCUCUAUUUUCUCUCUUCUUGCAUCUCUCUCCUCCACGGUGGCUUGUUCGCCCACACGGUUCCGGCGACCGAGCACCCAAGGUGGCGGCGCGGAAGAACGUAGGGCUCAACUAGCGCAGGAGCAGGGCAAUCGCAGCGUCGAGCCGGAACAGGGGUUCUCCAGCUCUGCCCUGAUGGCCAUCAGAGACACUACUUCGUAGUUGAUGCCGGCAGGGGAGAGGGUGGCGCUCUCGGCGUUGAUGUUCCUCGGUAUGCACCCGGCGACUAGUCGAAUGGACGCGGAGGGGUCACGGGGCUACGACCACGUAUUUAUAUUUGGGAUCAAGGGGCAGAGGAUGCUUAUCGGCCAUCCUCACGCUACGGUUUGUUACAACAAACCAGGCGAGAU